CAGCCGCCGCGGGAAUACGUAGGUGGCAAGCGUUGUCCGGAAUUAUUGGGCGUAAAGGGCUCGCAGGCGGUUUCUUAAGUCUGAUGUGAAAGCCCCCGGCUCAACCGGGGAGGGUCAUUGGAAACUGGGAAACUGAGUGCAGAAGAGGAGAGUGGAAUUCCACGUGUAGCGGUGAAAUGCGUAGAGAUGUGGAGGAACACCAGUGGCGAAGGCGACUCUCUGGUCUGUAACUGACGCUGAGGAGCGAAAGCGUGGGGAGCGAACAGGAUUAGAUACCCCCGUAGUCCCUGUCUCUUAUACC
This 301-nucleotide ribosomal RNA is filed under the name uncultured bacterium. RNAcentral describes it as "partial 16S ribosomal RNA". It matches the Rfam family "Bacterial small subunit ribosomal RNA", at positions 509 to 808 of the family's 1533-position model. The record is from RNAcentral.